AUCAACUAGCACAAAUAUUGAGCCAUUACAUGAAGUGGAAGUGCAAUCAUCACUUAGUGUGAAAAUGGAGGCAUCGGCCGAAGAGCAACUACAACCAUCACUUGAUGUGAAAACGGAGGCAUCAGCUGAAGAGGAUGUACAACCAUCACCUAAUGUGAAAAUAGAGCCAUCAGCUAAAGAGGAAGCACAACCAUCACCCGAUGUGAAAAUGGAACCAUCACUUGUCAAGAAUGAACCAUUACCGAACGCAAAUAGAAAAAUAUUUACAAGACUUGCAAAGAGAGUGGGAGAAUGUUUAUGCUUGAACCAGAAAUGAGUAACAACUUUUGAUUGGGCAUGCCUAUUG
Molecule: long non-coding RNA, 346 nt
Filed under: Medicago truncatula (barrel medic)
Lineage: Eukaryota; Viridiplantae; Streptophyta; Magnoliopsida; Fabales; Fabaceae
Description: long non-coding RNA (MTRU_LNC003041)
Source: RNAcentral